GACGAACGCUGGCGGCGUGCUUAAUACAUGCAAGUCGAACGGAAAGGCCCUGCUUUUGUGGGGUGCUCGAGUGGCGAACGGGUGAGUAACACGUGAGUAACCUGCCCUUGACUGUGGGAUAACUUCAGGAAACUGGGGCUAAUACCGGAUAGGAGCUCCUGCUGCAUGUUGGGGGUUGGAAAGUUUCGGCGGUUGGGGAUGGACUCGCGGCUUAUCAGCUUGUUGGUGGGGUAGUUGCUUACCAAGGCUUUGACGGGUAGCCGGCCUGAGAGGGUGACCGGCCACAGUGGGACUGGGGUGCGGCCCGGAGUCAUACGGGGGGCAGCAGUGGGGAAUAUUGCGCGAUGGGCGGAAGCCGGAUGCAGGAACGCCGCGUGCGGGAUGACGGCCGUCGGGUUGUAAACCGCUUUCGCCUGUGACGAAGCGUGAGUGACGGUAAUGGAUAAAGAAGCACCGGCUAACUACGUG
RNAcentral lists this ribosomal RNA (468 nucleotides) under uncultured bacterium. RNAcentral's name for it is "partial 16S ribosomal RNA". It matches the Rfam family "Bacterial small subunit ribosomal RNA", at positions 28 to 507 of the family's 1533-position model. The record is from RNAcentral.